Homo sapiens (human) is the source of this 2445-nucleotide long non-coding RNA. Ensembl annotates it as MKNK1 antisense RNA 1. Its record names the gene MKNK1-AS1. Lineage: Eukaryota; Metazoa; Chordata; Mammalia; Primates; Hominidae. The record is from Ensembl.
AUUUCAUUCCAAGUCCAGCCUUCAACCCCAGUGCCUGAGCAGGAGGGAGGGACAUUGCUCUGACUCUUGAGUUGCGAGGACUGGAAGACCUUCACUUUAGCCCUGCAAGCUCUGGCUUCCAGCACAGCUGAGAGGCCCCAGUGGCACAAGACUCCGAAGGCUUCUUUGAGCGAUCACAGGUUCUUGACCACUUGUCUGGGCACUGCUCCUGUCUCCUGGAGCUCAGGCUGGAUGGAGUCUCUCCCCUAGUUCAGGCUGCAGCCCCAGCCGCCACAGCUACAGCGGUGAGAGCAGGCUGGAUCCCAGAUCUGCAGGCGGGUGAGCAGGUGGAGCCCAGUGAAGAGAUGUUCCUGCUGCAGGCAAUUAUGCAAAAUGCUUGCUCUGUUGCCCAGGAUGGAGUGCAGUGGCGUGAUCGCAGCUCACUGCAACCUCCGUCUGCUGGAUUCAAGCGAUUCUCCUGCCUCAGCCUCCCAAGUAGCUGGCAUUACAGCACCUGCCACCAUGCCUGGCCAUGGCUCACCAAGAAACAACCACCUCCCGCCUCCACACACCCUGCAAAACUAAUUUGACUGAAAGAUGGUCUCAUAUAUUUUCCAAACUCUCAGGCUUACAUCAAUCACACUGAUGAUCAAGAGCGAAGAAAGGACGAGGAUGGGCAGAAACAUCACACAAUCACGAUGAGCAAUGCCUGACAUGACAAAGAGCAAAAAAAUGGUUAACAUAUGCAGAUAAUUAUCAAACAUUCCACACACAAUUAAUUUUUUCCAAAUGCUGUAGUUCGCAGAUUAAUUCCCAAUUAUGGUACAUUAAAAAAUCAACGAGCUGCAGGAGGCAGAAGUAACCAGCGACACAAACCAAAAGCACAGUUGAUUCUGCGGGUUCUUUUGAAGAGGAGGCUUUAGAAGUCUGGCAGGGAUAAGAAGGGCUAAAUGAAUCCCAGCCAGCCUACCCCUCAGUACCACAGUGACCACCAAGAAGAAGGCCUAAUGCAGAGCAGAGCAGAGAGCUCUGCAAACGGCAAUGCUUGGAACAGCAAUGCAGAAAUAAUUAGUGCCUUGUUUAAGAGCAUCUCAGGGGGCUUAACUGCUCUACCUCAUUUCUUCUUGUGUGGCCGAUUUAAAAAAAAAAAUUCCUUCAGUGCGACUGUCUGAAUGUUCAGAGGAGCAAGUGUUAGUUACCAAAUCUCCCAAAGUGACCUAUUCCCUUCUCACCUGCUUUGCAUGUCUAAGGCAGCCCUGCCAGCAGCAGAGCAAAGACCGCUUUGGCACCAGGAUGCUGUUAUUUUUGUUUUUUAAAAUAGAGAUGGAGUCUCGCUAUAGCCAGGCUGUUCUUGAAAUCCUGGCCUUAAGCAAUCCUCCUCCCUUGGCCUCCCUAAGCAUGGGGAUUACAGGUGUGAGCCACCUCGCUAGGCCCACUGAGGGUUGCUGUUUUUAAGAGAAAACCUCUGCACUUUGGCCAGGCCUCCUGAAGGCGACUGGAGAUAGCAGCUUAGCCCAUGAGGGGUUAACCUGCUGACCUGGCCAAGAAGGCACCUCGGGGAGAGCCCUCUUCUAACCAAAGAAAGGGACAAAGAACUAACUCUGGGUCAUGGUGUUUUGGUGGAGGACACAGAAACCUCCCUUUUGUCUUUCCUUCCACAGCACAUGCAGCACAGAGACAGGGCUGGAAGGCUGAGCAAGAGUCAGAGCUACAGUUGGAAGUAUUGGAAAGCGGCAGCGGAUUCUCGGGGUGAUGGGAAAAGCAAAAUCUGCUUCACUAAAACUCCGUCGGUGAUCAACUUUUUCAGCAGUCCUCCGAUUCCCGACUAGAAGGCAAAAGCCUGGCCCAGGCCACGGGAGGCACUUCACUAAAGAAGAAAAACCUGAGCUCCAGCAAGCUCAGUAACUUCAUCAGUCACCUAAUUGAACGAGAACCCAGAGCAACUCAGUCCAGGCUGCACAAAUUGAGUAGCACUGCUCUGCAGCUCGCUGCACUAAAAGUGGAAGAUAUUUUCCAUUACAGCAAGUGCUCCCACAGAAGGAUCACGAGCCACACACGGAGCCUUACUCUCCAAAUAGGCGCCCAUGGCCCAGUCGUCCCUUAGCCUAAGAACUCAGAGAGCCAGGCUGUAAUAAUGGGGCUGCCGUGUGAGCACAGCAGCCAUCGAGCUGCUCCGGUUCAUUUCCCAGAGGUUGAGCUGCAGUGUGUCCAGUAUUUAAAAGUAUGGAACUUGUUUCAGGGCUGACCCAUUCUUGCCCAAUUCAUCUUCCCCGUGUGAAGUUAUUUAGCAAACAGCCAAGUUCAGCUGGAAAUCGUUUUUCAUCCCCUCCAACUUCUAGUCACAUGGGCAGCUGGCCAGCUACAUGUUAACAAGCGCCUCAGAACUCCUAAGACACCACCGGCCUCUGUUCCCUUCAGUGCAUUCUUGUAAAUAAAUAAAUAAUAAAACCUGCCUUUACCACCCCC